RNAcentral lists this ribosomal RNA (115 nucleotides) under Rhodospirillaceae bacterium. The record is from RNAcentral. Lineage: Bacteria; Pseudomonadati; Pseudomonadota; Alphaproteobacteria; Rhodospirillales; Rhodospirillaceae. RNAcentral also lists the same sequence under 1 other name.
CUUGGUGGUCAUGGCGACGGUGCAACACCCCUUCCCAUCCCGAACAGGGCCGUGAAACCCGUCUGCGGCGAUGGUACUGCGUCUUAAGGCGUGGGAGAGUAGCGCGCUGCCAAGU